Molecule: small RNA, 667 nt
Filed under: Rattus norvegicus (Norway rat)
Lineage: Eukaryota; Metazoa; Chordata; Mammalia; Rodentia; Muridae
Description: uncharacterized LOC103693102
Source: RNAcentral
CUGCGGGGGCUGAGAGGCAACUCCCCUACGGGAGCAGGAGGAAGACGCGACUGUGAGUUAAAAGAAUCCCAAAUUGUGCGAGGACCGGCGCUCUUCCUGGCAUUCAUGGGCAGCUUCCACCUAUUCAUGGUAGUGUCUUAAAGGUUGCCUGUGAGGUCCAAGAUGAUCAGAUGCCUAGGAUUUGACAGAUAAGCAAGAGCCAGGUUUCUUAGCGCAAUGAAUGUAGCCUGUAGUCCCAGCAUCAUUGUAGCUAAUUUAAAUCCGGUACAAGAAAAAAAGAGAGAGAGAGACAUCCUGUAUCAGAAUUCAUUCAGGAAGCCCACAGCCUUUGCAAACUCUUGAUCUUACUCUAGCGUAAAGGCAGCAGAGUUUGGAUCUCUCAGGGACACUGUGAAAGCAGGGUAGGGCCUACUGUGAUUUUUUUUCAUUAUUUUAGACCAAAGUUAAGUAUCCCAGAAGGAUCUCAACAAACCGGAGUGCCACAGCUAGUCUCCCAGGACUGAAGCCGAGAAAGAACCAGAGGAAAGAAAUGCUUCAUGAAGCCAGCAAAUCAAGAUCUAGAGCUUGGAACUGGAGAGAAUGACUCAGAGUGCUUGCUGCUCUCUGAUAGACUUCGUUCCGAGCAACCACUCCAGACAGUUCUCACCAUGGAAAACUCCAGCUCCGG